Molecule: non-coding RNA, 117 nt
Filed under: Gorilla gorilla gorilla (western lowland gorilla)
Lineage: Eukaryota; Metazoa; Chordata; Mammalia; Primates; Hominidae
Source: Rfam by way of RNAcentral
GCCAGGCAUGGUGGCUCAUGCCUGUAAUUCCAGCAUUUCGGGAGGCUGAGGCAGGAGGAUCACUUGAGGCCAGGAGUGCAAGACCAGCCUGGCCAACAGAGAGAGACCCUGUCUCUA